Molecule: unclassified non-coding RNA, 292 nt
Filed under: Hevea brasiliensis (rubber tree)
Lineage: Eukaryota; Viridiplantae; Streptophyta; Magnoliopsida; Malpighiales; Euphorbiaceae
Source: RNAcentral
AUAAAGACGAAGGAUAACAAUUGCGGUCUACGGUCUGCCUUGGUCAAACCAGGGGCUACCCAAUUAAUUUCCCUCCUAACAAAAAGGAAGUAGCAAGCUAGCCUUAGAACUGGAGACAUCACAAAGCACUGUUGCUAAUGGGCAAGCUCCAAAUACUCGGUGCAUCAUCAUCCUCAAAGUAGCGUGAUGACAUCCUCUUUCAUACUUUAGUUUUUGAAUUGAUAAGCUGCAUAACUCAAACCACUAGAGGGGGAAGUUUUCCUUGAGCUAGGGCUUGAAGGGUGGUGAAGAG